This 253-nucleotide ribosomal RNA is filed under the name uncultured bacterium. Its description in RNAcentral is "partial 16S ribosomal RNA". It matches the Rfam family "Bacterial small subunit ribosomal RNA", at positions 524 to 776 of the family's 1533-position model. The record is from RNAcentral.
GACAGAGGGUGCAAACGUUGUUCGGAAUUACUGGGCGUAAAGCGCGUGUAGGCGGCCAUCUAAGUCGGGCGUGAAAUCCCACGGCUCAACCGUGGAAGUGCACUCGAAACUGGAUGGCUAGAGUCCUGGAGAGGAAGGUGGAAUGCUUGGUGUAGAGGUGAAAUUCGUAGAUAUCAAGCGGAACACCGGUGGCGAAGGCGGCCUUCUGGACGGUAACUGACGCUGAGACGCGAAAGCGUGGGGAGCAAACAGG